UUGGACUAUAAGUCCACUAAAGAGCCGUUCGAGACUAGGACGUUGAUAGGUCAGGUGUGUAAGCGUUGUGAGGCGUUGAGCUAACUGAUACUAAUGACUCGAGAGGCUUAACCAUACAACCCAGAUGGGUUUUG
This 134-nucleotide ribosomal RNA is filed under the name Shewanella sp. LC2. Its description in RNAcentral is "partial 23S ribosomal RNA". The stretch from base 1 to 115 matches the Rfam family "Bacterial large subunit ribosomal RNA", at positions 2815 to 2925 of the family's 2925-position model. The record is from RNAcentral. Lineage: Bacteria; Pseudomonadati; Pseudomonadota; Gammaproteobacteria; Alteromonadales; Shewanellaceae.